AAAUUACGUGCCAGCAGUCGCGGUAAUACGUAGAAGACAAGUGUUAUNCAUCUUUAUUAGGUUUAAAGAGUACCAAGACGGUUAAUAAAGCCCAAAAUAAAUGAAUACGGGGGACACAUUAACUAGAGUUAUAUGAAAGGAAGCUCUAAGGUACUGUUGAGUGUAGAGAUGAAAUUCGAUUAUACCAGAUGAUUGGCACAGAUUUAUGCGAAGGCAUCUUCUUAUGUAAUAACUGACGUUGUAGGACGAAGGCUUAGGAAAUGAACAGGAUUUGGUACCCCAGUAAUCUAGGCAGAAAAUGAUGAAUGUCAUAGGUUGAAUACAG
This 325-nucleotide ribosomal RNA is filed under the name Sticta sp. TW-2018c. Its description in RNAcentral is "SSU rRNA". It matches the Rfam family "Bacterial small subunit ribosomal RNA", at positions 498 to 832 of the family's 1533-position model. Lineage: Eukaryota; Fungi; Ascomycota; Lecanoromycetes; Peltigerales; Lobariaceae. The record is from RNAcentral.